RNAcentral lists this ribosomal RNA (253 nucleotides) under uncultured prokaryote. Its description in RNAcentral is "partial 16S ribosomal RNA". It matches the Rfam family "Bacterial small subunit ribosomal RNA", at positions 524 to 776 of the family's 1533-position model. The record is from RNAcentral.
UACGGAGGGUGCAAGCGUUAGUCGGAAUUACUGGGCGUAAAGGGUGCGUAGGCGGACUUGUAAGUCAAAUGUGAAAUUCCAGGGCUCAACCCUGGAGCUGCAUUUGAAACUGUGAGUCUAGAGGGAUGGCGGAGAAAACGGAAUUCCACGUGUAGCGGUGAAAUGCGUAGAUAUGUGGAAGAACACCUGUGGCGAAGGCGGUUUUCUAGCCUAGUCCUGACGCUGAGGCACGAAAGCAAGGGGAGCAAACAGG